RNAcentral lists this long non-coding RNA (257 nucleotides) under Phoenix dactylifera (date palm). RNAcentral's name for it is "long non-coding RNA (PDAC_LNC020762)". The record is from RNAcentral. Lineage: Eukaryota; Viridiplantae; Streptophyta; Magnoliopsida; Arecales; Arecaceae.
ACCAAACUUGUAAGAUGUGCAAUUUGCUUCUGUUCUUCCUCUCGCUCUUUUUUCCUCCUCACGCUCUCUCCUCUCCUGCUCCAAUUGCCUCUGCAGCUCCUCACUCUCUAUCUCACGCUCCAUCUUCAUCUCCUCCAUCUCAGCUUUAAGUUUCUGCAACUCCCCAACAUGGUCUUGUGACACACGACUAGGUGUGGAAGAAGAUGAAGAGGGCUUCGGCCCAACCCCAUAUCUAAGAAUGUAUCUCUUCCUUUUUC